RNAcentral lists this ribosomal RNA (381 nucleotides) under uncultured archaeon. RNAcentral describes it as "bacterial SSU rRNA". It matches the Rfam family "Archaeal small subunit ribosomal RNA", at positions 473 to 853 of the family's 1478-position model. The record is from RNAcentral.
ACACCGGCAGCUCUAGUGGUAGCUGUUUUUAUUGGGCCUAAAGCGUUCGUAGCCGGUUUAAUAAGUCUUUGGUGAAAUCCUGUAGCUUAACUAUGGGAAUUGCUGAGGAUACUGUUAGGCUUGAGGUCGGGAGAGGUUAGCGGUACUCCCAGGGUAGGGGUGAAAUCCUGUAAUCCUGGGAGGACCACCUGUGGCGAAGGCGGCUAACUGGAACGAACCUGACGGUGAGGGACGAAAGCUAGGGGCGCGAACCGGAUUAGAUACCCGGGUAGUCCUAGCCGUAAACGAUGCGGACUGGGUGUUGGGAUGGCUUUGAGCUGUUCCGGUGCCGAAGGGAAGCUGUUAAGUCCGCCGCCUGGGAAGUACGGUCGCAAGACUGAA